RNAcentral lists this unclassified non-coding RNA (1994 nucleotides) under Bactrocera tryoni. RNAcentral's name for it is "uncharacterized LOC120780267, transcript variant X1". Lineage: Eukaryota; Metazoa; Arthropoda; Insecta; Diptera; Tephritidae. The record is from RNAcentral.
UCCAACACCGGGGUGUUCAGAGUUCUUUCGCGUUGAACUCCUUUCUGCAACUGUUUUUUUGUUAUAAGAAAUUGCUAAGAUAUUGCGUUUUCCAUUUAUGUAUUUGGGGUAUAAUGUUUUUGCUUAUUUUCUUUUGUUGACAACUAGGCAGAUAUGGCAAUACCAUUUAUUAGUAUGCAACCCUAUUCUUGUUGUGAAAAUGCUGUUAAUUUAACUAAAAUUAAGUAAUUAAAAUAAAGCUUUAUUUGCAAUAAAUAUUAAAGAAAUUUAUAUACAAAAACGUUAUAGUGAUGUGUUAUAGUCAAUUUCAGAUCCUUUUAUAAGCCCCAUUCCGUUUCUCGGACUCAGAAACUUAGCUGCAGACAAAGUCUUCGUCAACAUAUUGGCAAGCUGAUUCUCUGUGUAACUAUAUUUCGUGAUUAUUAUAGUAUAUUUACAUAUAACGGGAUUAUCUCCAUUAACGAGAUUAACUCGAUAAUCCGUAAUUAAGAAACGAGAUUUACCAUACAAAAUUCCUCUCUAGUUAAUCUGAGAUUAAAAGUUAAAAGUUAAUCUCAGAUUACACAACUAGAUUAGCGAUGUUAUUCCUAACUUUAUCGAUAAUUUUUUCGAAAAAGAUGAGAAAUGUCAAAUGACAAAGCAAACAAAAAUGGCCGACAGCGAGGGAAAGAGAGAUGAUAGGAAAUCUAUGGGUUCCUCUGGCGGCAGCCCUUCGAUAUGGGAAUUCUACCCUAGAAUAAAUAGUAACCUCUGGAGCUAUAAAAGCUUUAAUUUGCCAACAUUUGUGGAGGAGAGCACAGUUCACGAAGUUGUAGACUGUGCAUCACCCCUUAACAGCUCUUCCAUUACGCUGGAUUCCCAGGAAGAAUUGCUGUUUGUAGACGAGGAACCUGCAAGGGAAAGAAAAAAGCAUACCUCAAAUAAUAUUCACAAUGAAUUUUUGGAGGAAUUCCGGGAUUCAAAUAGAAAAAUUAAGGCGGAAAUUGAAGCAAUUAAAGAUAAAGAAAGCCAUUCUCGAAAAAUUCUUAGCAUUUAAGCAAAGCAAUUACGUUUUACACCACGAAGCAUAUAUCUAGCCCAGGAGAAGAUUUUUUUAUUUUAUAUUGUUAUUUUUUGUAAAAUAGCUGGUUCACAGCAUAGUGCUUUUCAACUCAUGUGGUAAGUCUUUUGUUCAUUUUUCUUGUGAGAUUUGGGCAAGAAUAACCUCACAAUUCAGUUGCUGAACACAUAGAGAGUGACAGACUUCAAGCGACAUCUGUUAAAUAUUACACGUUCUUAUGGACACCGUUCUUUAGACAGCUGCAAGACUGAAAAGUUUCAACAAAAAGUAGUGGAACUAAUGGAGAAGAAUCCAGAAGUUGGAAAAGUAAAGCCACAGUUUGGAAGCAAUAAAUUCAAAAACCAAAUUGUUGGAAAGUGUGGCAUUGCAGUUGAAUUGUUUAUGGCCACCAAGCUGAACUGUCUACGAAUGGGGACGAUGUGGAUUCGCUAUAAAGCAAAUUAAAAAAAUCUUGCUAAUAAUAGGAACAACUUGUGACUGGUGGUACACCUCUAGAGCAGUCGCUAAGCCCAAUGGAGGAGAGUGUGGCCCGGCUUAUUCAGAUAAGGGAGGCAGUUGCACCAAGAGGGCAAGCAUUAGGUGUCGAGUAUGUAUCACCUAUUUUCGCCGAUGUGACCCUUGAAGACUCACCUUUUUCUUCUCCACAUAUGCAAGAUCGCUCGACUCCUUCCAAAAGAGUUCAGUUGAGGAGGGCAAACUAUUGCAUGGAAUCGCAAAGGAAUUUUAAACAAAAUUAGACAGUUGGAGAAAACUUUGCCUAAUUAAUAUACUCUCCAAAAAGAAGCUUUGGAAUUAAAAAAAGAUCUAUGGAAGAAAGGCUAACGAGGCGCAUGAACUCUCUCUUUUUGUAACAUAGUUCAAGUUUAUUUUGAAAACAUGAAGUGAUAUUGUUAUUUCAAGAAUUUAUUUAAAUAAAAUUUAAAAAAAUAUAUAA